Long non-coding RNA from Panicum virgatum (switchgrass), 1053 nucleotides. RefSeq lists it as uncharacterized. The record is from RefSeq and is a predicted model, not a curated record. The transcript has 5 exons. Lineage: Eukaryota; Viridiplantae; Streptophyta; Magnoliopsida; Poales; Poaceae.
AUCAUCUUCGUCGCCGCCGCCGCCCAUCGUGCAGCUGGGCUACGAACAGCUGUUGUCCGUCCUCCGCCUCCUCCCGACCGAGGCCGUGCUCUCCACUGCCACCUGCCGCGCGUUCCGGGCCGGCGCUUCCUCUGACGUACUCUGGGCGGCUAUCCGUCCUCCGCCUGCUCCCGCUUGAGGCCGUGCUCACCUUCGCCGCCACCUAUCGCGUGUUCCUGGCAAUAGCUCACAGAUUGCGAAAUUUUCGAGUUUCGAGUAUGUGGAGUGUAAUGGAAAAGAUGUUGGGCUCAGCGUGCGAAAGAAGUCUGAAAUAGUUCUUGCCAUUGUGGGUGGGAGAAACUUACUGAUGCAGUUCCAAGUCAGGGAGAAGGCUGCUACUACGAGGGAUAAGUACUUCGGUUUGUCAUCAAUUGAGGAUAUUCAAACGGAGCUUAUUUAGUCUAGAAGGAAUCAGAUGAUCAAACGAGGAACGGUAAAGGAAUGGCUAACAGUUGAUUCAGUGUCUAGGAAGAUGGCUGGUUUGUGUCCACUCAUGCUAGAAGAGAUUGAAUAAAACACUUAUCAUGGAGGCUGUCGUGUUGAUGGGCAUACUAUAGAGGUAAUAAUGUUAACUGAUGUAUGUCCAUUUCUUCCUUGUGCUCUGAAUCUGCAAGUUUGGAUUGGGUGGGUUGUGUUUGACUGUUUGCAGCGGUCGUUUCAGAUUGCCUUUUCACUAACUCUUGAAUUAUUGCGCCUCAAGUAUUUAUUCUGCAUGUGCAUUAGUUAAGUUAGCCUUGCAAAAAGGUUUCUGAUUUGGGUGCUCCUGGCCUUUCUACAUGUCCUGCUGUUUAUAUAGUAGUUGGCUACCUAGUCGAGGGGCUUACUCUAAGGCUGAAUGUUAUGUCUCAUCCAAGUUAUGAGUACAUGUGUCACAUGUGCUCUAGAGUUGCUUCUGAGUUCUGAUCAUUGCAAAAUAUUUUGUCAAUAUCAGGUUCUCAUCCAACUAUGAGUAAUUAUUUGUUUUCGUAGUGUAUGUUUGUGCCUUACUCAUCCUAUUUUAUCACAUUUUAGAUA